GCUGCAAUGUAUAUAAAGUCAAAGGAGGAAAAAUCUGAGUCAUACAAAGUGACAAGCUUUCAUCAGGUGGACUAACAGAGUAAGAACCUUUUUCAUUCAUUCAUUUCAGUAAGUUAUAUUUAUUCAUCUUUACUGCUGAAAAUAAAAGUAGCUAAAUUAAAGUGAUGAAUUUUUUUUCAGUUUUAAAAGAUUCCUAAUAUUUUUCAUGCUUUGCGUUUUUGAUCUAUAAUGUCCUUAAAAUUUUAAAAGGAUUUCUAAAGAAAAUGCAAGGGAUUUAACUAACACUUGUUAGAUAUUUUCUGAAAAAUAAAUGACUAAUUCUGGUAUGUUUAUUCUGUUGACUGUGCUACUCUUCUUCUACAGAUUAGGUUGACAUGAAACUAGGAUUGCUGCUGUUUCUAGGAAUUGUGUUCCUGGUGCCCCACGACUCAGAGAGUCGGACUGUCUCUGAACAUGAGCUCAAAAAGUGGCUUAAGCUUAUGCUCCACCUGCCUCCAAGAUAUGGUACAAGAAUUGAAACAUGGUACAAGAACUGGAUCUUGUCCAAAGUUAUCUUUGAAGCAAAAAGGGGUUCCCAUCUGAACACCGGAAUGCUUAAGGUCUGUGGCAUACGAAAUACUGCACUUACCAACCAAACAACAAAGGCCCACGAUGACAACUACGACAAUCAAUCCAACUACGGCAUCUAUGAAAACUAUGACAACCAGGCCAACUCCAACAAUCAUGUCACAACUGAUAACCCGUCAACUGCCAACAAACGCAGACGUAAGCGGCAGUUCGAUCUUGAUGACGGGUCCGGCUCAGGGAUGAUGCCACUUGAAAACAUGAUACAUGAGGAAGAAAUCAAGUUUGAUGAGCAGGAGUUGAUUCAGGAUGACAAUUACAUAAAUGGAGAAGAGUAUGGUGGGGGAAAUAAUGGCAGGCAGAUGUCAACAACUUGGUCGGUUGGUUAUUAUGGGAUCUUCCAACUGUCUGACAGCCACUUCUGUGACUCAGGCUAUCGCUGGUCGAGAAAUAAGUGCAAAACAAGCUGCACAGGUGAGUCUCUAAUAACAAUAACCACUGUAGUAUAAUGGAUUAAAAAAUUCUUAAUCCUCACAUAUAUUAUGAUUUUUGUUUCUCUUGAAGCCUUUUUGGAUGAUGACAUAGAAGAUGACAUUUUUUGCCUUUUUCAAAGCGGGUUCUGGCAGUAAGUCACUUCUACAACCAAUAUCCACAAGCAAUUGUAUAUAAUAAAUGACACAUUACAUUUCA
Molecule: long non-coding RNA, 1254 nt
Filed under: Gouania willdenowi (blunt-snouted clingfish)
Lineage: Eukaryota; Metazoa; Chordata; Actinopteri; Blenniiformes; Gobiesocidae
Description: lncRNA (ENSGWIG00000020687.1)
Source: RNAcentral